Molecule: ribosomal RNA, 363 nt
Filed under: Streptomyces peucetius
Lineage: Bacteria; Bacillati; Actinomycetota; Actinomycetes; Kitasatosporales; Streptomycetaceae
Description: bacterial SSU rRNA
Rfam family: Bacterial small subunit ribosomal RNA
Source: RNAcentral
UGCUUAACACAUGCAAGUCGAACGAUGAACCUCCUUCGGGAGGGGAUUAGUGGCGAACGGGUGAGUAACACGUGGGCAAUCUGCCCUUCACUCUGGGACAAGCCCUGGAAACGGGGUCUAAUACCGGAUAACACUGCGGAUCGCAUGGUCUGCGGUUGAAAGCUCCGGCGGUGAAGGAUGAGCCCGCGGCCUAUCAGCUUGUUGGUGGGGUGAUGGCCUACCAAGGCGACGACGGGUAGCCGGCCUGAGAGGGCGACCGGCCACACUGGGACUGAGACACGGCCCAGACUCCUACGGGAGGCAGCAGUGGGGAAUAUUGCACAAUGGGCGAAAGCCUGAUGCAGCGACGCCGCGUGAGGGAUG